RNAcentral lists this ribosomal RNA (440 nucleotides) under Veillonella parvula. RNAcentral describes it as "bacterial SSU rRNA". It matches the Rfam family "Bacterial small subunit ribosomal RNA", at positions 38 to 457 of the family's 1533-position model. The record is from RNAcentral. Lineage: Bacteria; Bacillati; Bacillota; Negativicutes; Veillonellales; Veillonellaceae.
GGCGGCGUGCUUAACACAUGCAAGUCGAACGAAGAACGAUGGAAGCUUGCUUCUAUCAAUCUAGCGGCGAACGGGUGAGUAACGCGUAAUCAACCUGCCCUUCAGAGGGGGACAACAGUUGGAAACGACUGCUAGUACCGCAUACGAUCUAAUUUGGCAUCGAGGAUAGAUGAAAGGUGGCCUCUACAUGUAAGCUAUCACUGAAGGAGGGGAUUGCGUCUGAUUAGCUAGUUGGAGGGGUAACGGCCCACCAAGGCGAUGAUCAGUAGCCGGUCUGAGAGGAUGAACGGCCACAUUGGGACUGAGACACGGCCCAGACUCCUACGGGAGGCAGCAGUGGGGAAUCUUCCGCAAUGGACGAAAGUCUGACGGAGCAACGCCGCGUGAGUGAUGACGGCCUUCGGGUUGUAAAGCUCUGUUAAUCGGGACGAAAGGCCUUC